Molecule: ribosomal RNA, 483 nt
Filed under: uncultured bacterium
Lineage: Bacteria
Description: partial 16S ribosomal RNA
Rfam family: Bacterial small subunit ribosomal RNA
Source: RNAcentral
GAUGAACGCUGGCGGCGUGCCUAAUACAUGCAAGUCGAGCGAACCACUUCGGUGGUGAGCGGCGAACGGGUGAGUAACACGUAGGUGAUCUGCCCAUCAGACGGGGACAACGAUUGGAAACGAUCGCUAAUACCGGAUAGGACGAAAGUUUAAAGGGUCUUCUGGCACCGCUGAUGGAUGAGCCUGCGGCGCAUUAGCGAGUUGGUAGGGUAAAGGCCUACCAAGGCAACGAUGCGUAGCCGACCUGAGAGGGUGAACGGCCACACUGGGACUGAGACACGGCCCAGACUCCUACGGGAGGCAGCAGUAGGGAAUCUUCGGCAAUGGGCGAAAGCCUGACCGGGCAACGCCGCGUGAAUGAUGAAGGCCUUCGGGUUGUAAAAUUCUGUUAUAAGGGAAGAACGACUUUAGUAGGAAAUGGCUAGAGUGUGACGGUACCUUAUGAGAAAGCCACGGCUAACUACGUGCCAGCAGCCGCCGUAA